AGAGAGAGACAUGCGCGCAUAUCAAUAAGCGGAGGAAAAGAAACUAACAAGGAUUCCCCUAGUAACGGCGAGUGAAGCGGGAAGAGCUCAAAUUUGAAAUCUUAAGGGGUUUCCCUUUACGAAUUGUAGUUUAAAGAAGUGUUUUCUGUUGAGGUUUUGGUAAAAGUUCUUUGGAAUAGGACAUCAUAGAGGGUGAGGAAUCCCGUAUUUGACCUUUACUUUCAACUUUGUGAUACACUUUCAAAGAGUCGGAUUGUUUGGGAAUGCAGUCCAAAAUGGGUGGUAAAUUUCAUCUAAAGCUAAAUAUUGGCGAGAGACCGAUAGCGAACAAGUACCGUGAGGGAAGAGAUGAAAAGAACUUUGAAAAGAGAGUUAAACAGUACGUGAAAUUGUCAAAAGGGAAGCGUUUGACACCAGUGUUGUUUUUCUGAAAAUCAAUUAAAGAACUGUUUAUGCUAAGCUGUUUAGACUUUAUCAGCUAACUGUUUAGUUUUGAGCUUUUCUUUAAUGCACUUUUCAGUUAACAAGUCAACAUCAAUUUCUUUUGCUGUAAAAAAGCUUGAGGAAGGUGGCUUGAGAUUCGUCUUAAGUGUUUAUAGCCUCUUGCCUAUGCAGUCGGAGAGAUUGAGGUCUGCAGCGUAGAUCCUUCGGGGCUAAAUGCAUUUGUGCUAAGUUAUAGCAUUUUAUAGACAACUUGUUGACUAUGAUUUGUCUUGUAGCUUACUCGCUUAUGUUAUUUUACCUACGCUUAGGAUGUUGACGCAUGAGAUAUACGC
This 776-nucleotide ribosomal RNA is filed under the name uncultured Neocallimastigales. Its description in RNAcentral is "partial large subunit ribosomal RNA". It matches the Rfam family "Eukaryotic large subunit ribosomal RNA", at positions 23 to 647 of the family's 3401-position model. The record is from RNAcentral. Lineage: Eukaryota; Fungi; Neocallimastigomycota; Neocallimastigomycetes; Neocallimastigales.